GACGCUGUAAUUCAGUUUGGGUUUGUCAAUCAAUGUGAGGAGAGUGAGAUGUAUGUGUGAGUCACUGUUUCUCUUCUUUAGAAUUCACUAGCACGGCACAGCUACACCCAGGCAGUUACACUUCGCUAUCACAACAACUUUCGGAUCUAUUUGGCAGAAUAAAAAAUACGCAUGGGGAAACGCAUUGCAUCUUAGAAAUGCUUUGCUUCUCAUAGACAGAAUUUUCGCAAAUGGCAUUUGACCCAAGUUGCAUACCUUCUACGAUGCCUGAAACACACACAACGGAAAAUGAAAAUGAAAUUAGAAAUUCUGGAGUAAUUUGCUGUAAGAAACCAAAAACCAAGCUGAUGAAGCGUCUUCGAAAUAUUUUGCUUUACGAUCUUCUUGGAUAUCUUGGUAAACUUUAGCUCCUUCACUGAAAUAUAUGAGCACUUUUGCGGUGCCGUGGCUCACGUUAAAGGCUGGUAUUUCUGAAACCCUCAUCAUCAACUCAUCAUACUAUUUGUGUGAGUCUCACACGCAAGAUCGCUUUUAACUCAAAACCCCUUCAAAGACGCAAGAUCAUCGUUUGUGUGAGGAUGUUUUACAUUUGGA
This is a long non-coding RNA of Stegodyphus dumicola, 594 nucleotides long. RefSeq lists it as uncharacterized. NCBI's taxonomy places the organism in Eukaryota, Metazoa, Arthropoda, Arachnida, Araneae, Eresidae. The record is from RefSeq and is a predicted model, not a curated record.